UACGGGGGGGGCAAGCGUUGUUCGGAAUUACUGGGCGUAAAGGGCUCGUAGGCGGCCAACUAAGUCAGACGUGAAAUCCCUCGGCUUAACCGGGGAACUGCGUCUGAUACUGGUUGGCUUGAAUCCGGGAGAGGGAUGUGGAAUUCCAGGUGUAGCGGUGAAAUGCGUUGAUAUCUGGAGGAACACCGGUGGCGAAGGCGGCAUCCUGGACCGGUAUUGACGCUGAGGAGCGAAAGCCAGGGGAGCAAACAGG
This 253-nucleotide ribosomal RNA is filed under the name uncultured bacterium. RNAcentral describes it as "partial 16S ribosomal RNA". It matches the Rfam family "Bacterial small subunit ribosomal RNA", at positions 524 to 776 of the family's 1533-position model. The record is from RNAcentral.